ACCUGCCUGCAGCCAAAAUAUCAAACACACACUUCAGGCCAGGACUUCCUUAAUGGUUCCUGCUGCCUGACUGUUCAUGGCUUCUGAACUAUGAUCUCAGGCCAAGGGAAAAGAAGCAAGCGACAGUAAGCUGUGUGGAUCAAAGAGCUUCAUCAGUGUUGAGGCUUUGAGGAGACAAUCGUCGAGGGGUUGGAAUUCCUAGAGACCGGAGAGUUGCCCUGGAGUCCUUCAUGGAGUGGAGUAUGUCAUUCGUCAUGGAGGUGAAUAAUUUUUCACCAUCGAAGGGGAGAUCCUUAAUGGUACUCUGGACCUCCUGGGGAAAGGAAGAGGAUGAGAGCCAUGAACCUUGGCACAUCACAACUGCUGUGGCAGUGGACCGUGCCGCAGUAUUGGCCGCAUCAAGGGCCAAUCUUGAAGAGCAGUGUGGAAGAUGAUUUGUCCCUCGGAAACUAUGGCUGUAAAUUGUUGUUUCUUUUCUUCUGGAAUGUGAUCAAUAAAGUCCAUGAAUUUAUUGUAAUUUUUGUGGUCAUAUUUUGCUAGAACGACUGUAUAAUUAGCAGUGCGAAAUUGCAACUAGGAAGAAGCAUAUACCUUACGUCUGAGCAGAUCUAGUUGCUUAUUGUCCUUGU
Long non-coding RNA from Trachemys scripta elegans, 629 nucleotides. RefSeq lists it as uncharacterized. The record is from RefSeq and is a predicted model, not a curated record. The transcript is spliced from 3 exons. Lineage: Eukaryota; Metazoa; Chordata; Testudines; Emydidae.